Molecule: long non-coding RNA, 315 nt
Filed under: Vicia faba (fava bean)
Lineage: Eukaryota; Viridiplantae; Streptophyta; Magnoliopsida; Fabales; Fabaceae
Source: RNAcentral
AUGGCACUUGCUACUGGUAGUUUCAUCCCCAUGCCAACCAAUUAUAAAUAUUCCCCUAAAAGAUCUAUGACUAUUACAAUAACAUGCGGUAACCAUAAAUAUAAAGCUAAACAAGUUGAUAGAAGCAGAAAUGGAGGGUAUGGAUCUGGCCCACAGACGACUAGUAUUAAACUCCAAAGCAAAACAACGACCAGAAAUCUUCAACUUGGCAACACUUAUGCCACAACAAUCUUGAGUAGUGUCGAUGAUGAAGAUGAUCUCAACACAAGUAGUCCUAAUAUGAUUGGCAACAUAGAUUAUCAUUUUGAAAUAUGA